GGGAAACCGAGUCUUAACUGGGCGAAUGAGUUGCAGGGUAUAGACCCGAAACCCGGUGAUCUAUCCAUGGGCAGGUUGAAGGUUGGGUAACACUAACUGGAGGACCGAACCGACUAAUGUUGAAAAAUUAGCGGAUGACUUGUGGAUGGGGGUGAAAGGCCAAUCAAACCGGGAGAUAGCUGGUUCUCCCCGAAAGCUAUUUAGGUAGCGCCUCGUGAACUCAUCUUCGGGGGUAGAGCACUGUUUCGACUAGGGGGUCAUCCCGACUUACCAACUCGAUGCAAACUGCGAAUACCGAAGAAUGUUAUCACGGGAGACACACGGCGGGUGCUAACGUCCGUCGUGAAGAGGGAAACAACCCAGACCGCCAGCUAAGGUCCCAAAGUCAUGGUUAAGUGGGAAACGAAGUGGGAAGGCUCAGACAGCCAGGAUGUUGGCUUAGAAGCAGCCAUCAUUUAAAGAAAGCGUAAUAGCUCACUGGUCGAGUCGGCCCGCGCGGAAGAUGUAACGGGGCUAAACCAUGCACCGAAGCUGCGGCAGCGACACAUAGUGUUGUUGGGUAGGGGAGCGUUCUGUAAGCCUGCGAAGGUGUACUGUGAGGUAUGCUGGAGGUAUCAGAAGUGCGAAUGCUGACAUAAGUAACGAUAAUGCGGGUGAAAAACCCGCAC
This 668-nucleotide ribosomal RNA is filed under the name Proteus mirabilis. RNAcentral describes it as "partial 23S ribosomal RNA". It matches the Rfam family "Bacterial large subunit ribosomal RNA", at positions 671 to 1335 of the family's 2925-position model. The record is from RNAcentral. Lineage: Bacteria; Pseudomonadati; Pseudomonadota; Gammaproteobacteria; Enterobacterales; Morganellaceae.